Molecule: transfer RNA, 72 nt
Filed under: Camelus bactrianus (Bactrian camel)
Lineage: Eukaryota; Metazoa; Chordata; Mammalia; Artiodactyla; Camelidae
Also listed under: 3 other names
Rfam family: tRNA
About the family: Transfer RNA (tRNA) molecules are approximately 80 nucleotides in length. Their secondary structure includes four short double-helical elements and three loops (D, anti-codon, and T loops).
Source: Rfam by way of RNAcentral
GAGGGUACAGCUCAGUGGUAGAGCGUGCGCUUAGCAUGCACAAGGUCUUGGGUUCAAGCCCCAGUACUUCCA